This 255-nucleotide ribosomal RNA is filed under the name uncultured bacterium. RNAcentral describes it as "partial 16S ribosomal RNA". It matches the Rfam family "Bacterial small subunit ribosomal RNA", at positions 15 to 263 of the family's 1533-position model. The record is from RNAcentral.
GAUCCUGGCUCAGGACGAACGCUGGCGGCGUGCUUAACACAUGCAAGUCGAACGAAAAUACCAAGCUUGCUUGGUUGAUUAGUGGCGAACGGGUGAGUAACACGUGAGUAACCUGCCCCUUACUUUCCUGGAUAACUGCUCGAAAGGGUAGCUAAUACGGGAUAUUCUGACCAGUCUGCAUGGGUUGGUUUGGAAAGGUUGUUUUUCUGGUAAGGGAUGGGCUCGCGGCCUAUCAGCUUGUUGGUGGGGUGAUGG